This is a long non-coding RNA of Neomonachus schauinslandi (Hawaiian monk seal), 1451 nucleotides long. RefSeq lists it as uncharacterized. The transcript has 8 exons. NCBI's taxonomy places the organism in Eukaryota, Metazoa, Chordata, Mammalia, Carnivora, Phocidae. The record is from RefSeq and is a predicted model, not a curated record.
GAUGGGAGGCAGAAGUUAAUGAAGAUAGAGACAUCGUGAUUGAAAGUUUCUUCAAUAGCCCCGCUCAGGAGGCCUGGGUCACUUGCUUCCGUCCGGCGUUCAGUAGGCUGCUUAUCUCUUACCAGAAGCAGGGGUAUUUGGUGGCGUGAGCCCCGCCGGUCCCUCCAAUGCCGUCUUGGAAAAAGAAAUCCUGUAGAAGUGACCACUGUGGUGAUGACAGUGAAACUUUCUGGAAGGUUAUCAUCCUGUCCAUUUUAUAGAUGAGCAUUCCUGUGCAUGUGUGGGAGAGCUGAUUGUCAUCCAGGACUUUAUGUCUUUCAACUGGAGUGUUUAGUCAGCUUGCAUUUAAUAUAAAGAAACGGAGCCUCAGAGAUCGAGAAAGUUACCCAUGUUCACAGACCUGGAUGUGUGCUCACAGAGGAAGACCAGGUGAGGACACGGAGAAAUGGCCACCUGUCAGCCAAGGAGAGAGGCUUCUAAAGAAGUCAGACUUGCAGAUGCCUUGAUCUUGGAUUUCCAACCUGCAGAACUCUGCGAAACUGGGAGCUUUUGAACCUCUUCUUGACAGUCAUGUAGCAUCCUGGAUCCUGCCGCCAUGCGGUUUGGUGCACUCAGACCAGGCUGUCCACGGGCGCAUCCUGUAGCCUGGGAACUGCUCGCCAUCAAACUCUUCCCGCAGCUGCUCACUCCUCCGGCUCUCGGGCUUCCCUCCAGCGCAGCUUCUGGAUGGAUGGAUUUUUCAGCAUUUCCAGAUGUGGCACUUUCCCCACGGCACAGGGUGCACCUCCAAACUGAGGCUCCAUUUGGAUUCCUCAGUGUAGGGAGGGAGUAGAGGGGAGGAAGAAGAGAGAAAACAGUGUUGCAAACUUUUUAAAGAAUUCUGGUCAUGAUGGCGAGAAAGAGAUCCUACCAGAACCAGAGGACUUUGGUGUGGAGGCACAUUUAAGAUGAAAGACAGAAGAACGUAUCUGAAUAUCACCGAGUGCCUUGGGGAGCUGAGACAGUUCAGGAGGGAUGGGAGUGGGUCCCAGUGUUUAAAGGAGUGGAAGGUGUGCACUACCUUACAGCAAGACUGGAACUUGUUUAGAUGCUGUGUGGUUGUAAGGGACUGAAGCCCUGGGGUCAGACUGCGUAGAUUUAGCCCCACCUCUGCCAUCUCCCGGCUGUGUGCCUGUCAGCAAGUCACUUAAAUUCCCUAAGCCAGAAUUUCUUCACCUGCAACAAUGGGACUUACCUUGUAAGGCUAUUUGAGAUAUCAAGUUCCAUAAUGUACAUAAAAAUGUUAGCACAAUGCUUGAUAAGGAAUCUUAAAAAAAAAGCUUAAGUAACUUGUCCUGCAUUACAAGUGGCUGAAGUGGGAUCUGAAGUCUGUGCUCUUUGGGCAUUUGCUCCAUGUGUUACAUCACUCUACUUUUGGGGGACCCAGACUCCAACGGGGCCAGUCCCCUCAC